Molecule: unclassified non-coding RNA, 214 nt
Filed under: Hevea brasiliensis (rubber tree)
Lineage: Eukaryota; Viridiplantae; Streptophyta; Magnoliopsida; Malpighiales; Euphorbiaceae
Source: RNAcentral
GUUUAGGAUACAUUUUGGUUACAAAUGUCUCCCCAUGGAGAUAUACCCUCUACCCAGAAAGGGAUAACAGGGCGAAGUAAGCAAGUGAACACACAAAAUAGAGUUCAGAUAUGAAGAUUCUAAUGUGAAUGCUACAAUUCGAUGAGAAAUCCGGCACCGUCGCUUGUCGCCGGCGUUCUUCAGCAGCAAAGAGGGACGACUGAGAAGAGUGUUG